CCGAUUGCUUUGAGGGGGCUCCUGCCGGAAAAUGUUCGAGUAGCCAUUGUGAAGCUAUGUGCAUUCCUCAAUGCAAUCUCUCAGAAGGUAAUCAAUCCAGAAGAUCUACCACGGUUACAGAACGAUGUGAUCCAAUGUCUUGUCAGUUUCGAGUUGGUGUUCCCGCCAUCCUUCUUCAAUAUUAUGACGCACCUCUUGGUUCACCUAGUCGAAGAGAUUUUCAUUCUCGGUCCUGUAUUUCUACACAAUAUGUUCCCCUUCGAGAGGUUCAUGGGAGUAUUAAAGAAAUAUGUUCGUAACCGUGCUAGUCCAGAAGGAAGCAUCGCCAAGGGCUAUGGAAAUGAGGAGGUAAUUGAGUUUUGUGUUGACUUUGUUCCUGACCUUAAGCCGAUUGGUCUUCCUCGAUCGCGGCACAAGGGGAGACUAAGUGGAAAAGGCAUGAUCGGAAGGAAAUCAACGACAUGUAUGGACGGCCAUUCUCUGACUGAAGCACACCACACUGUACUGACCAAUUCCAGCUUGGUGGCUCCGUACUUUGAGAAACACAAGAAUAUUUUACGCUCGGACAACCCGGGGAAGCCUGAAUCCUGGAUUAGGAAGGCCCACAUGGAGACUUUCGGCAGUUGGUUGAGAAAACAUUUAAUGAAUGACAAUGAUGUUGUAGAUCAGCUGUACAUGUUGGCCAAGACACCAUCUUCGACUAUA
RNAcentral lists this ribosomal RNA (705 nucleotides) under Triticum aestivum (bread wheat). RNAcentral describes it as "partial small subunit ribosomal RNA". Lineage: Eukaryota; Viridiplantae; Streptophyta; Magnoliopsida; Poales; Poaceae. The record is from RNAcentral.